RNAcentral lists this ribosomal RNA (334 nucleotides) under uncultured eukaryote. RNAcentral describes it as "partial 18S ribosomal RNA". It matches the Rfam family "Eukaryotic small subunit ribosomal RNA", at positions 1470 to 1796 of the family's 1831-position model. The record is from RNAcentral.
CCCUUAGAUGUCCGGGGCCGCACGCGCGCUACACUGAAGGAAUCAGCGUGGAUGCCUCCCUGGUCCGAAAGGAUUGGGAAACCCGUUGAAUCUCCUUCGUGCUAGGGAUUGGGGCUUGUAAUUCUUCCCCAUGAACGAGGAAUUCCCAGUAAGCGCGAGUCAUAAGCUCGCGUUGAUUACGUCCCUGCCCUUUGUACACACCGCCCGUCGCUACUACCGAUUGAAUGGUUUAGUGAGAUCUUCGGAUUGGCGCCACUGCGGCUCAGCAAUGGGCUCGGUGGAUGCCGAAAAGUUGAUCAAACUUGAUCAUUUAGAGGAAGUAAAAGUCGUAACA